This is a long non-coding RNA of Bufo gargarizans (Asiatic toad), 303 nucleotides long. RefSeq lists it as uncharacterized. The transcript has 3 exons. Lineage: Eukaryota; Metazoa; Chordata; Amphibia; Anura; Bufonidae. The record is from RefSeq and is a predicted model, not a curated record.
UACACAUUAGUGGACUUCUGUUACUCCCAUCUUCCAUCUCCAUGAGUCAGGUGGGUGGAGCUGGACCCCUCAUCCUCUGGUACAUGAGCAGAAGAUCCUAGGAGUCCCCCACAAGAUCACUGAGCUGCUGACUGGAGAGGUUCCUGUAAGGUGUCAGGAUGUCCAUGGCGAAGUGGGAGUAUAUAGAUGGACACAAGGAUCGGUAUGAGGACGCCAUGAUGGAGGACCACCGACCCCUCACAUUAACGGAUGGAUCCAGGAGGAGAAAUCCCCCCGAGAGAUGUCCCCGUCCUCUGUAUUCCC